Long non-coding RNA from Dermochelys coriacea (leatherback sea turtle), 150 nucleotides. RefSeq lists it as uncharacterized. NCBI's taxonomy places the organism in Eukaryota, Metazoa, Chordata, Testudines, Dermochelyidae. The transcript is spliced from 3 exons. The record is from RefSeq and is a predicted model, not a curated record.
GUUGCUGAAUAUUGCUGUAGUGAAUCAGUAUUCCAGGACUCCCUGCCAAACAAAAGAUGCUCACUGCAGGAAGAACCCCACUGAAUCACCUCUUCACCCUGCAUGGGACCUUGUCUAUAAAGAUGAGGUCCAUGCAGGGACAUAGACAAU